CGUAGGUGGCAAGCGUUGUCCGGAUUUAUGGGUUUAAAGGGUGCGUAGGCGGUUCCAUAAGUCAGUGGUGAAAUACGGCAGCUCAACUGUCGAGGUGCCAUUGAUACUGCGGAACUUGAGUACUGAUGAGGUAGGCGGAAUUGACGGUGUAGCGGUGAAAUGCUUAGAUAUCGUCAAGAACACCGAUAGCGAAGGCAGCUUACCAAGCAGUAACUGACGCUGAGGCACGAAAGUGCGGGGAUCAAACAGGAUUAGAUACCCUGGUAGUCCGCACAGUAAACGAUGAUUACUCGAUGUUGGCGAUACACAGCCAGCGUCUUAGCGAAAGCGAUAAGUAAUCCACCUGGGGAGUACGCCCGCAAGGGUG
RNAcentral lists this ribosomal RNA (367 nucleotides) under uncultured organism. Its description in RNAcentral is "bacterial SSU rRNA". It matches the Rfam family "Bacterial small subunit ribosomal RNA", at positions 526 to 896 of the family's 1533-position model. The record is from RNAcentral.